AAGUCGUAACAAGGUUUGAUGGAACGGGAUCCUUCCCGGAAGCCUUGACACAACGACUAUAACCAUGCGUGCAGUCUGGAAAUGGUUCUUUCCAGGCGACGUCGCCCCUGUGCUGGGACCCUGUAUUUUUAGUUACAGCGGACCAGCAGCCAGUGUUCUGGUCCACAGAUUAAGCGGUGGCGGUCUCGGUUUGUUGAGCUGGGAUCAAGAUGUAAUCGGUUCUCUAUCUUAGUUAUGGAGGUGACAUGUUCCGUAGGUGAACCUGCGGAAGGAUCAUUA
This 279-nucleotide ribosomal RNA is filed under the name Willeya pallidipora. RNAcentral's name for it is "Willeya pallidopora partial small subunit ribosomal RNA". The record is from RNAcentral. Lineage: Eukaryota; Fungi; Ascomycota; Eurotiomycetes; Verrucariales; Verrucariaceae.